UGCAAGUCGAACGAUGAACCCCAGCUUGCUGGGGGGAUUAGUGGCGAACGGGUGAGUAACACGUGAGUAACCUGCCCUUAACUCUGGGAUAAGCCUUGGAAACGAGGUCUAAUACUGGAUAUUGACUUUUCCCCGCAUGGGGUUUGGUUGAAAGAUUUAUUGGUUUUGGAUGGACUCGCGGCCUAUCAGCUUGUUGGUGAGGUAAUGGCUCACCAAGGCGACGACGGGUAGCCGGCCUGAGAGGGUGACCGGCCACACUGGGACUGAGACACGGCCCAGACUCCUACGGGAGGCAGCAGUGGGGAAUAUUGCACAAUGGGCGAAAGCCUGAUGCAGCGACGCCGCGUGAGGGAUGACGGCCUUCGGGUUGUAAACCUCUUUCAGUAGGGAACAAGGCCAGCAUUUUUGUUGGUUGAGGGUACUUGCAGAAGAAGCGCCGGCUAACUACGUGCCAGCAGCCGCGGUAAUACGUAGGGCGCAAGCGUUAUCCGGAAUUAUUGGGCGUAAAGAGCUCGUAGGCGGUUUGUCGCGUCUGCCGUGAAAGUCCGGGGCUCAACCCCGGAUCUGCGGUGGGUACGGGCAGACUAGAGUGAUGUAGGGGAGACUGGAAUUCCUGGUGUAGCGGUGAAAUGCGCAGAUAUCAGGAGGAACACCGAUGGCGAAGGCAGGUCUCUGGGCAUUAACUGACGCUGAGGAGCGAAAGCAUGGGGAGCGAACAGGAUUAGAUACCCUGGUAGUCCAUGCCGUAAACGUUGGGCACUAGGUGUGGGGGACAUUCCACGUUUUCCGCGCCGUAGCUAACGCAUUAAGUGCCCCGCCUGGGGAGUACGGCCGCAAGGCUAAAACUCAAAGGAAUUGACGGGGGCCCGCACAAGCGGCGGAGCAUGCGGAUUAAUUCGAUGCAACGCGAAGAACCUUACCAAGGCUUGACAUGAACCGGAAACACCUGGAAACAGGUGCCCCGCUUGC
RNAcentral lists this ribosomal RNA (969 nucleotides) under Arthrobacter glacialis. RNAcentral describes it as "bacterial SSU rRNA". It matches the Rfam family "Bacterial small subunit ribosomal RNA", at positions 56 to 1022 of the family's 1533-position model. Lineage: Bacteria; Bacillati; Actinomycetota; Actinomycetes; Micrococcales; Micrococcaceae. The record is from RNAcentral.